Molecule: unclassified non-coding RNA, 1334 nt
Filed under: Hevea brasiliensis (rubber tree)
Lineage: Eukaryota; Viridiplantae; Streptophyta; Magnoliopsida; Malpighiales; Euphorbiaceae
Source: RNAcentral
UGGUGGAAAUGCACAAUGUUGUCAAAUUUUGAUUGCCAGGGGUGCCGAUCUGACUGCUGAAAAUGCAAAUGGGUAUGCAUCUACUAUGUUUACCGCUCACAUGUUCAAAUUUACAAUGUUCAUGACAUGUAGUUAUUUGCAUUUUCAUCCUUCUUCUUUAGAAGUAAUCUCUGUGGAGAAACCUAAUACUGUGUAUGUGCUGAGAGAUUGAGGCAUUAUUCGGUAUUCACAGAGAUUUUUAUUUUUGGAUGAAACAAUGAUUUAGUUAAAAACAAAAAAGGAUAUCCCCCACAAUAAAUCCAUCUGGUUGGACAUCUGGAUUCUGGACAUUGGAGAUUUGCCAGGCAAAUAGAGAUUUAGUUCACUCCUGCAGAAUAAAAUGUUCAGUCUGGAGGAGGCCUAAAGUAAGGCAUAUGGAUUUCUUCUUCACAUUUCCAGUUUGAUCUUUAUAUCUUAAUAACUUCACUUAUCUUCAUGAUAUCUUGAAUCAGAACAUAUUCUUUAUUCAUAGCUUCUUAGUGGACACAGUUAGAAAUUGAUUGCUUUAGAAUACACCUACACAUUGGUCUUUGUAGAUUAUCCUGUCUCCAGCUGCUGCGCCAAGUUUAAAUAUCUUUGAUUGAACUUAUCUUCCAUUUAUAACGUGUUAGCUGAAGUAGGGAGGGCACCAGAUGGUUUCCAUUGAUUAUUGAAAUUCUUGGCACUAGAUGGUAUGGGUACCUUACCUCUCAAGGAGAAAGGGACUAGAGAAAAGUAGACCACUUAAGUCCUGAAAAGAGCAGCACAAUGUUGUUAGGGCGUGCCUCAGGUGCAAGGCACAUAGGACUCCAACCCUAACACCACUGCUAGUGAAAGACAGGUGAGUUUUAAUGGCCACAUGCCUAAUGGGCCUAGGCAUACUCGUUGUUCUUGGCAUGCUCCUUGUUCUUGGCGCGCUCCUUGUUCUACGUGCAAAGAUCUGGAAAGGCACACCUUCCUAAUUUUCAUCUCGGGUGAGUGCUUCAGUUGGCAAAAGACAACCACACUAGACUUGGAAUUUUUUGAUUUACCAUAUCCAAUGUUAAUGGGCCAAAAAGUUGCCAAAAUCUCAUUGAGCCACCACAACCAGAAUAUAUAGCUCAAACCUGUGGCCCCAAGAAUAAGUUCUAAUAUCUUUAACACGUCCCCUUGCCUAAAUACCAUUGGGUUUGUAUUAAUAAGAGGGAGGCUCUUAGAAUUUGAAAUUGAAUUCUAUACCUUUUGAUUAAAGCAUGGAUUUAAAUCAUGGUCACCGUUGUGGAUAAUGGAAACGAGCUAGUAACGGUCGAAAUGUAAUGGUAACGGCCUAUCACUCA